UGUGAGAUUACAUAUGCAUAUAGUGUUAAUGUUAUAAGAGUGUAGUAUCUACUCACAAAGUUAUCAGGUUAAAUAGUUUUAUCAACUAAUAAAAAUGUUAUUGCAUAACUAAUGUUAUAUACUGUAGCCCUGCCACGAUAUCCAGCGAGAAUUAUUUUGCUGAGUAUCGUAGUAAAAGUUAAGAUAUGAUGUUGAGAAUUUUUUUGAGUCGUGCAACAAUAUUAACAGCAAACUAUAAUACAAAUCUAUCUUUUU
Molecule: unclassified non-coding RNA, 255 nt
Filed under: Rickettsia conorii subsp. israelensis
Lineage: Bacteria; Pseudomonadati; Pseudomonadota; Alphaproteobacteria; Rickettsiales; Rickettsiaceae
Source: RNAcentral